Molecule: ribosomal RNA, 473 nt
Filed under: Enterobacter hormaechei
Lineage: Bacteria; Pseudomonadati; Pseudomonadota; Gammaproteobacteria; Enterobacterales; Enterobacteriaceae
Description: bacterial SSU rRNA
Rfam family: Bacterial small subunit ribosomal RNA
Source: RNAcentral
AUUGAACGCUGGCGGCAGGCCUAACACAUGCAAGUCGAACGGUAACAGGAGCAGCUUGCUGCUUUGCUGACGAGUGGCGGACGGGUGAGUAAUGUCUGGGAAACUGCCUGAUGGAGGGGGAUAACUACUGGAAACGGUAGCUAAUACCGCAUAACGUCGCAAGACCAAAGAGGGGGACCUUCGGGCCUCUUGCCAUCGGAUGUGCCCAGAUGGGAUUAGCUAGUAGGUGGGGUAACGGCUCACCUAGGCGACGAUCCCUAGCUGGUCUGAGAGGAUGACCAGCCACACUGGAACUGAGACACGGUCCAGACUCCUACGGGAGGCAGCAGUGGGGAAUAUUGCACAAUGGGCGCAAGCCUGAUGCAGCCAUGCCGCGUGUAUGAAGAAGGCCUUUCGGGUUGUAAAGUACUUUGCAGCGGGGAGGAAGGCGAUAAGGUUAAUAACCUUGUCGAUUGAUCGUUACCCGCAGAAGA